Callithrix jacchus (white-tufted-ear marmoset) is the source of this 291-nucleotide unclassified non-coding RNA. It matches the Rfam family "Metazoan signal recognition particle RNA". From Rfam's summary of the family: The signal recognition particle (SRP) is a universally conserved ribonucleoprotein. It is involved in the co-translational targeting of proteins to membranes. Lineage: Eukaryota; Metazoa; Chordata; Mammalia; Primates; Cebidae. The record is from Ensembl.
GCUGGGCAUGGUGGUAUGUGCCUGGAGUGCCAGCUACUCAAGAAGCUAAGGCAGGAGGAUCACUUGAGUCCAAGUGUUCUGGGUUGUAAUGCACUAUGUCUAUCAGGUGUUUGCACUAAGUUCCACAUCAAUAUGGUGACCUCCCAGGAGUAGGAGACCACCAGGUUGCCUAUGAACUGACCAGAAUGGAAAUGGAGCAGGUCAAAACUCCCAUGCUGAUCAGUAGUGGGACUGUACCUGUGAAUAGCCACUGCAUUCCAGCCUGGGCAACACAGCAAGACCCUGUCUCUA